CAUCGGCCAUUAUAAUACAACCUGAUAAGUGUUACAGCACUUAUCAGGUUGUAUUGUAAUUGUCUGUGUAUAUAUAUGCC
MicroRNA precursor from Catagonus wagneri (Chacoan peccary), 80 nucleotides. Ensembl annotates it as microRNA 374a. Its record names the gene MIR374A. Lineage: Eukaryota; Metazoa; Chordata; Mammalia; Artiodactyla; Tayassuidae. The record is from Ensembl.